Molecule: ribosomal RNA, 433 nt
Filed under: uncultured bacterium
Lineage: Bacteria
Description: partial 16S ribosomal RNA
Rfam family: Bacterial small subunit ribosomal RNA
Source: RNAcentral
AACGAACGCUGGCGGCAUGCCUAACACAUGCAAGUCGAACGAGACCUUCGGGCCUAGUGGCGCACGGGUGCGUAACGCGUGGGAACCUGCCCUUAGGUUCGGAAUAACUCCCCGAAAGGGGUGAUAAUACCGGAUAAUGUCUUCGGACCAAAGAUUUAUCGCCUUUGGAUGGGCCCGCGUUGGAUUAGCUAGUUGGUAGGGUAAAAGCCUACCAAGGCGACGAUCCAUAGCUGGUCUGAGAGGAUGAUCAGCCACACUGGGACUGAGACACGGCCCAGACUCCUACGGGAGGCAGCAGUGGGGAAUAGUGGACAAUGGGCGAAAGCCUGAUCCAGCUAUGCCGCGUGAGUGAUGAAGGCCGUAGGGUUGUAAAGCUCUUUUACCCGGGAUGAUAAUGACAGUACCGGGAGAAUAAGCGCCGGCUAACUCCGUG